GGUUCAUUCAAAUUUCUGCCCUAUCAACUUUCGAUGGUAAGGUAUUGGCUUACCAUGGUUUCAACGGGUAACGGGGAAUUAGGGUUCGAUUCCGGAGAGGGAGCCUGAGAAACGGCUACCACAUCCAAGGAAGGCAGCAGGCGCGCAAAUUACCCAAUCCCGACCGGGGAGGUAGUGACAAUAAAUACUGAUACAGGGCUCUUUUGGGUCUUGUAAUCGGAAUGAGUACAAUUUAAACCCCUUAACGAGGAACAAUUGGAGGGCAAGUCUGGUGCCAGCAGCCGCGGUAAUUCCAGCUCCAAUAGCGUAUAUUAAAGUUGUUGCAGUUAAAAAGCUCGUAGUUG
RNAcentral lists this ribosomal RNA (344 nucleotides) under uncultured fungus. RNAcentral's name for it is "SSU rRNA". It matches the Rfam family "Eukaryotic small subunit ribosomal RNA", at positions 292 to 636 of the family's 1831-position model. Lineage: Eukaryota; Fungi. The record is from RNAcentral.